This 764-nucleotide ribosomal RNA is filed under the name uncultured Bacilli bacterium. Its description in RNAcentral is "bacterial SSU rRNA". It matches the Rfam family "Bacterial small subunit ribosomal RNA", at positions 52 to 776 of the family's 1533-position model. The record is from RNAcentral. Lineage: Bacteria; Bacillati; Bacillota; Bacilli.
UACAUGCAAGUCGAGCGAGCUUGCCUAGAUGAAUUUGGUGCUUGCACCAAAUGAAACUAGAUACAAGCGAGCGGCGGACGGGUGAGUAACACGUGGGUAACCUGCCCAAGAGACUGGGAUAACACCUGGAAACAGAUGCUAAUACCGGAUAACAACACUAGACGCAUGUCUAGAGUUUAAAAGAUGGUUCUGCUAUCACUCUUGGAUGGACCUGCGGUGCAUUAGCUAGUUGGUAAGGUAACGGCUUACCAAGGCAAUGAUGCAUAGCCGAGUUGAGAGACUGAUCGGCCACAUUGGGACUGAGACACGGCCCAAACUCCUACGGGAGGCAGCAGUAGGGAAUCUUCCACAAUGGACGCAAGUCUGAUGGAGCAACGCCGCGUGAGUGAAGAAGGGUUUCGGCUCGUAAAGCUCUGUUGGUAGUGAAGAAAGAUAGAGGUAGUAACUGGCCUUUAUUUGACGGUAAUUACUUAGAAAGUCACGGCUAACUACGUGCCAGCAGCCGCGGUAAUACGUAGGUGGCAAGCGUUGUCCGGAUUUAUUGGGCGUAAAGCGAGUGCAGGCGGUUCAAUAAGUCUGAUGUGAAAGCCUUCGGCUCAACCGGAGAAUUGCAUCAGAAACUGUUGAACUUGAGUGCAGAAGAGGAGAGUGGAACUCCAUGUGUAGCGGUGGAAUGCGUAGAUAUAUGGAAGAACACCAGUGGCGAAGGCGGCUCUCUGGUCUGCAACUGACGCUGAGGCUCGAAAGCAUGGGUAGCGAACAGG